RNAcentral lists this transfer RNA (90 nucleotides) under Tremella mesenterica. It matches the Rfam family "tRNA". Rfam says of the family: Transfer RNA (tRNA) molecules are approximately 80 nucleotides in length. The record is from Rfam by way of RNAcentral. RNAcentral also lists the same sequence under 1 other name. Lineage: Eukaryota; Fungi; Basidiomycota; Tremellomycetes; Tremellales; Tremellaceae.
UCUCUGGUAGCUCAGUGGUUUAGAGCUUCAAGCUUAUGCGGCGGCUUUUUCGUUUCUUGAGGGUCGAGAGUUCAAACCUCUCCCGGAGAA